This 2561-nucleotide ribosomal RNA is filed under the name Enterobacter quasihormaechei. RNAcentral's name for it is "Enterobacter sp. WCHEs120003 partial 23S ribosomal RNA". It matches the Rfam family "Bacterial large subunit ribosomal RNA", at positions 398 to 2925 of the family's 2925-position model. The record is from RNAcentral. Lineage: Bacteria; Pseudomonadati; Pseudomonadota; Gammaproteobacteria; Enterobacterales; Enterobacteriaceae.
UGUGAACUCGAAGAGUAGGGCGGGACACGUGGUAUCCUGUCUGAAUAUGGGGGGACCAUCCUCCAAGGCUAAAUACUCCUGACUGACCGAUAGUGAACCAGUACCGUGAGGGAAAGGCGAAAAGAACCCCGGCGAGGGGAGUGAAAAAGAACCUGAAACCGUGUACGUACAAGCAGUGGGAGCCUCUUUUAUGGGGUGACUGCGUACCUUUUGUAUAAUGGGUCAGCGACUUAUAUUCUGUAGCAAGGUUAACCGUAUAGGGGAGCCGAAGGGAAACCGAGUCUUAACUGGGCGUUAAGUUGCAGGGUAUAGACCCGAAACCCGGUGAUCUAGCCAUGGGCAGGUUGAAGGUUGGGUAACACUAACUGGAGGACCGAACCGACUAAUGUUGAAAAAUUAGCGGAUGACCUGUGGCUGGGGGUGAAAGGCCAAUCAAACCGGGAGAUAGCUGGUUCUCCCCGAAAGCUAUUUAGGUAGCGCCUCGUGAACUCAUCUUCGGGGGUAGAGCACUGUUUCGGCUAGGGGGCCAUCCCGGCUUACCAACCCGAUGCAAACUACGAAUACCGAAGAAUGUUAUCACGGGAGACACACGGCGGGUGCUAACGUCCGUCGUGAAGAGGGAAACAACCCAGACCGCCAGCUAAGGUCCCAAAGUCAUGGUUAAGUGGGAAACGAUGUGGGAAGGCACAGACAGCCAGGAUGUUGGCUUAGAAGCAGCCAUCAUUUAAAGAAAGCGUAAUAGCUCACUGGUCGAGUCGGCCUGCGCGGAAGAUGUAACGGGGCUAAACCAUGCACCGAAGCUGCGGCAGCGACACUAUGUGUUGUUGGGUAGGGGAGCGUUCUGUAAGCCGUUGAAGGUGGCCUGUGAGGGUUGCUGGAGGUAUCAGAAGUGCGAAUGCUGACAUAAGUAACGAUAAAGCGGGUGAAAAGCCCGCUCGCCGGAAGACCAAGGGUUCCUGUCCAACGUUAAUCGGGGCAGGGUGAGUCGACCCCUAAGGCGAGGCCGAAAGGCGUAGUCGAUGGGAAACAGGUUAAUAUUCCUGUACUUGGUGUUACUGCGAAGGGGGGACGGAGAAGGCUAUGUCAGCCGGGCGACGGUUGUCCCGGUUUAAGCAUGUAGGCGGAGGUUCCAGGUAAAUCCGGUACCUUUUAACGCUGAGGUGUGAUGACGAGGCACUACGGUGCUGAAGUGAUAAAUGCCCUGCUUCCAGGAAAAGCCUCUAAGCAUCAGGUAACACGAAAUCGUACCCCAAACCGACACAGGUGGUCAGGUAGAGAAUACCAAGGCGCUUGAGAGAACUCGGGUGAAGGAACUAGGCAAAAUGGUGCCGUAACUUCGGGAGAAGGCACGCUGAUAUGUAGGUGAAGUCCCUGCGGACGGAGCUGAAAUCAGUCGAAGAUACCAGCUGGCUGCAACUGUUUAUUAAAAACACAGCACUGUGCAAACACGAAAGUGGACGUAUACGGUGUGACGCCUGCCCGGUGCCGGAAGGUUAAUUGAUGGGGUUAGCGGCAACGCGAAGCUCUUGAUCGAAGCCCCGGUAAACGGCGGCCGUAACUAUAACGGUCCUAAGGUAGCGAAAUUCCUUGUCGGGUAAGUUCCGACCUGCACGAAUGGCGUAAUGAUGGCCAGGCUGUCUCCACCCGAGACUCAGUGAAAUUGAACUCGCUGUGAAGAUGCAGUGUACCCGCGGCAAGACGGAAAGACCCCGUGAACCUUUACUAUAGCUUGACACUGAACACUGGUCCUUGAUGUGUAGGAUAGGUGGGAGGCUUUGAAGCGUGGACGCCAGUCUGCGUGGAGCCGACCUUGAAAUACCACCCUUUAAUGGCUGGUGUUCUAACGUAGACCCGUUACCCGGGUUGCGGACAGUGUCUGGUGGGUAGUUUGACUGGGGCGGUCUCCUCCCAAAGAGUAACGGAGGAGCACGAAGGUUGGCUAAUCCUGGUCGGACAUCAGGAGGUUAGUGCAAUGGCAUAAGCCAGCUUGACUGCGAGCGUGACGGCGCGAGCAGGUGCGAAAGCAGGUCAUAGUGAUCCGGUGGUUCUGAAUGGAAGGGCCAUCGCUCAACGGAUAAAAGGUACUCCGGGGAUAACAGGCUGAUACCGCCCAAGAGUUCAUAUCGACGGCGGUGUUUGGCACCUCGAUGUCGGCUCAUCACAUCCUGGGGCUGAAGUAGGUCCCAAGGGUAUGGCUGUUCGCCAUUUAAAGUGGUACGCGAGCUGGGUUUAGAACGUCGUGAGACAGUUCGGUCCCUAUCUGCCGUGGGCGCUGGAGAAUUGAGGGGGGCUGCUCCUAGUACGAGAGGACCGGAGUGGACGCAUCACUGGUGUUCGGGUUGUCAUGCCAAUGGCACUGCCCGGUAGCUAAAUGCGGAAGAGAUAAGUGCUGAAAGCAUCUAAGCACGAAACUUGCCCCGAGAUGAGUUCUCCCUGAGACUUUAAGUCUCCUGAAGGAACGUUGAAGACGACGACGUUGAUAGGUCGGGUGUGUAAGCGCAGCGAUGCGUUGAGCUAACCGAUACUAAUGAACCGUGAGGCUUAACCUUACAACGCCGAAG